UACACUGAAUCUGGAAGCUUCUGGUUUAAAGAGAAGAUUAUUCAAGAAUUUUGUGUAAAAUGUCGGCGAGCGGCGGACGGCUGAGUAACGCGUGGGAACGUACCCCAAAGUGAGGGAUAACGCAUCGAAAGGUGUGCUAAUACCGCAUAUGGUCUUCGGAUUAAAGCCUUCGGGCGCUUUGGGAACGGCCUGCGUAAGAUUAGAUAGUUGGUGGGGUAAUGGCCUACCAAGUCAACGAUCUUUAACUGGUUUGAGAGGAUGAUCAGUCAGACUGGAACUGAGACACGGUCCAGACUCCUACGGGAGGCAGCAGUGAGGAAUCUUCCACAAUGGGCGAAAGCCUGAUGGAGCAACGCCGCGUGCAGGAUGAAGGCCUUCGGGUUGUAAACUGCUUUUAUAAGUGAGGAAUAUGACAGUAACUUAUGAAUAAGGAUCGGCUAACUACGUGCCAGCAGCCGCGGUCAUACGUAGGAUCCGAGCGUUAUCCGGAGUGACUGGGCGUAAAGAGUUGCGUAGGUGGUUUAAUAAGCGAAUAGUGAAAUCUGGUGGCUCAACCAUUCAGACUAUUAUUCGAACUGUUAAACUCGAGAGCAGAAGAGGUAGCUGGAUUUCUAGUGUAGGAGUGAAUCCGUAGAUAUUAGAAGGAACACCGAUGGCGUAGGCAGGC
Molecule: ribosomal RNA, 667 nt
Filed under: uncultured bacterium
Lineage: Bacteria
Description: bacterial SSU rRNA
Rfam family: Bacterial small subunit ribosomal RNA
Source: RNAcentral